AUAGGCCAUGCCUUGGGUGGAGGCGUGAAUGGGAGGCAUACAAAGCUGCUUCUUGUGGUCUGCUCUCCCCGCCGCCUCUCAGGGAGGCCGUCCUGUCCACCAUCCUGUGGUCCUAAACAGCCACAUCCUGUAAUCUGAGGCCAGUGACCUAUGACUUGUCUCCUCACUUGAAGAAAUUACCAGGCUAAUUGGGUUCCAUCUCUUGAGCAUCUGUGUAUUGACGGUGGGAGCUGGGCUAAAGAUCCUGAAAUUGACUGAAGCUGGAGUGGUCAUUAUGGGAUGGUGCAGGAUGGAAGAAAGAAAAAAAGAGGGUAUCAGAAACAGACCCAGAGAUGACUGGGGUCUGGGAGGAGGAAGCUGGAGAACCGGCUAAGGACAAGAAAAGAGCCAUUGGAGAAAGAGAUGAAGUGGAAGACAGUGAGUGAGGGGCUGGCAGAAGGAUUUCCCCUCUUCAAACUAGAGGAGAACUUCUUCCUCAGCCUCCAUGCAGCCGGCCAGAUCCUAGGGCAAGCUCUGGCUAGAGAAGGCAAGGACAGGCAAGAAAAUGUUUUAGAAAAAGACCCUUUCCAUCUGGAAUGCUUUUUCCAACUCCCUUCACACCUUCAGGCUGGCUUCUAGUUGCACCAGGAACUCUGGGCCCACGUGUGAGGUGCGGGGGCAACACUGUCCAUCGGGAGGACCUGUGGCUGCCUCCUCAUCCCUUCCACCGAGCGCAGGAUGGCACCAUUGCUGGCUUCUGCUGCCCUCUGUUGUGGUCCUGUACCUCCUCACCUGCUCAGAUGCUCCGCGGGGACUGAUGGAGCUCUUCCUGGUCUCCAGUGGUUCUUACUGGGUAAUGCUGAACAACAGAGUACCAGGAAGGCAGGGACCUGGCCAAGCGCACAUACGCAUGAGUGGAGGAAAUUUUACAAUUUUUAGGAAGCAACAAAGUAUAAAGUGGGAAUUGCAGAUCUUC
Molecule: long non-coding RNA, 955 nt
Organism: Gorilla gorilla gorilla (western lowland gorilla)
Lineage: Eukaryota; Metazoa; Chordata; Mammalia; Primates; Hominidae
Exons: 3
Source: RefSeq, a predicted model, not a curated record